RNAcentral lists this ribosomal RNA (253 nucleotides) under uncultured bacterium. RNAcentral describes it as "partial 16S ribosomal RNA". It matches the Rfam family "Bacterial small subunit ribosomal RNA", at positions 524 to 776 of the family's 1533-position model. The record is from RNAcentral.
UACGGAGGAUCCGAGCGUUAUCCGGAUUUAUUGGGUUUAAAGGGUGCGUAGGCGGCCUGUUAAGUCAGUGGUGAAAGACGGUAGCUCAACUAUCGCAGUGCCUUUGAUACUGAUGGGCUUGAAUACACUUGAGGUAGGCGGAAUGUGACAAGUAGCGGUGAAAUGCAUAGAUAUGGCGAAGAACACCAGUUGCGAAGGCGGCUUACUAGACUGUGAUUGACGCUGAGGCACGAAAGCGUGGGGAUCAAACAGG